UCACUUUGGCAGUGUAGGUACUAAAACUAGAACAAUACAGAGAACCAUGGCCCCUGUGUAAGUAAGGGAUGACGGCAGAUUCAAAAAGCAUUCCAUAUUUAC
Molecule: small nuclear RNA, 102 nt
Filed under: Meriones unguiculatus (Mongolian gerbil)
Lineage: Eukaryota; Metazoa; Chordata; Mammalia; Rodentia; Muridae
Source: RNAcentral